RNAcentral lists this ribosomal RNA (253 nucleotides) under uncultured bacterium. RNAcentral's name for it is "partial 16S ribosomal RNA". It matches the Rfam family "Bacterial small subunit ribosomal RNA", at positions 524 to 776 of the family's 1533-position model. The record is from RNAcentral.
GACAGAGGGUGCAAACGUUGUUCGGAAUUACUGGGCGUAAAGCGCGUGUAGGCGGCUAUGCAAGUCGGGCGUGAAAGCCCUCGGCUCAACCGAGGAAGUGCACUCGAAACUGCGUAGCUAGAGUCCCGGAGAGGAAGGUGGAAUACUUGGUGUAGAGGUGAAAUUCGCAGAUAUCAGGAAGAACACCCGUGGCGAAGGCGGUUCUCUGGGACGGUACUGACGCUGAGACGCGAAAGCGUGGGGAGCGAACAGG